RNAcentral lists this ribosomal RNA (465 nucleotides) under uncultured Klebsiella sp. RNAcentral describes it as "bacterial SSU rRNA". It matches the Rfam family "Bacterial small subunit ribosomal RNA", at positions 338 to 795 of the family's 1533-position model. Lineage: Bacteria; Pseudomonadati; Pseudomonadota; Gammaproteobacteria; Enterobacterales; Enterobacteriaceae. The record is from RNAcentral.
CCUACGGGGGGCAGCAGUGGGGAAUAUUGCACAAUGGGCGCAAGCCUGAUGCAGCCAUGCCGCGUGUGUGAAGAAGGCCUUCGGGUUGUAAAGCACUUUCAGCGGGGAGGAAGGCGUUAAGGUUAAUAACCUUGUCGAUUGACGUUACCCGCAGAAGAAGCACCGGCUAACUCCGUGCCAGCAGCCGCGGUAAUACGGAGGGUGCAAGCGUUAAUCGGAAUUACUGGGCGUAAAGCGCACGCAGGCGGUCUGUCAAGUCGGAUGUGAAAUCCCCGGGCUCAACCUGGGAACUGCAUUCGAAACUGGCAGGCGAGAGUCUGGUAGAGGGGGGUAGAAUUCCAGGUGUAGCGGUGAAAUGCGUAGAGAUCUGGAGGAAUACCGGUGGCGAAGGCGGCCCCCUGGACAAAGACUGACGCUCAGGUGCGAAAGAGUGGGGAGCAAACAGGAUUAGAGACCCGUGUAGUC